UAUUAUUCCAAGAUGAAUUUUUAUCCUAGGUUAGUAAUAGAUAUUUACUUAAAAGUUAAAAAAUUUGGCGGUAAUUUAAUCUUUUCAGAGGAACUUGUUUUUUAAUCGAUAAUCCCCGAAGUAUCUUACUUAUUUUUGUAAAGUUUGUAUACCAUCAUUAUCAGGUAAUUUUAAAAAAAUAAAUUAUUAAAGGUAAAAAAUUAGUAAAAUUAGAUCAUGGUGCAGCUAAUAAAUAAGUUAAAAUGAGUUACAAUAAAUUAUUUUAUACGAAUAGAAAGAAGAAUUUUCUUUUYAGAAGGAGGAUUUGAUUGUAUUUUAAGUUUAAUAAGUUUAAAAGAUAGAAGCUCUAAAUUAUGUACAUAU
This 363-nucleotide ribosomal RNA is filed under the name Afropinnotheres monodi. RNAcentral describes it as "partial 12S ribosomal RNA". The record is from RNAcentral. Lineage: Eukaryota; Metazoa; Arthropoda; Malacostraca; Decapoda; Pinnotheridae.